CUUAAAAUAAAUUACAGCUAAUUGUUUUAAUUCUAAGAUUAUCGUUGGCGUAGAAAACAGUUUCCCCUUGGUUCGUAUGCCUAUGACAAACUGUCGAACCAAAGCCGAGAGUUGGCAAUCACGUAAUCUUGGUUAGCUGUUCUCAAUGCUUUCGCAACACUAUCAUGUAUAAGUUCUUUGUAUGUUUGCAUGGAGUAAUAAAUUUACGUGGUGUUUCCACAAACAAAACUAUUAUACUAUCAUGUAUUUUAUUUAAGUUGCAAUACUCUCGUUUGACCAGGACUUAAGUUGUCAAAAUUGU
Non-coding RNA from Paramuricea clavata, 301 nucleotides. Lineage: Eukaryota; Metazoa; Cnidaria; Anthozoa; Malacalcyonacea; Plexauridae. The record is from the annotation of a GenBank genome assembly.